GCUGUUUUAGCUCAGUUGGUAGAGCACAUCCUUGGUAAGGAUGAGGUCGCCGGUUCAAAUCCGGCAAACAGCU
RNAcentral lists this transfer RNA (73 nucleotides) under Ruminococcus sp. RNAcentral describes it as "tRNA-Thr". It matches the Rfam family "tRNA". From Rfam's summary of the family: Transfer RNA (tRNA) molecules are approximately 80 nucleotides in length. Their secondary structure includes four short double-helical elements and three loops (D, anti-codon, and T loops). Further hydrogen bonds mediate the characteristic L-shaped molecular structure. tRNAs have two regions of fundamental functional importance: the anti-codon, which is responsible for specific mRNA codon recognition, and the 3' end, to which the tRNAs corresponding amino acid is attached (by aminoacyl-tRNA synthetases). tRNAs cope with the degeneracy of the genetic code in two manners: having more than one tRNA (with a specific anti-codon) for a particular amino acid; and 'wobble' base-pairing, i.e. permitting non-standard base-pairing at the 3rd anti-codon position. RNAcentral also lists the same sequence under 1 other name. Lineage: Bacteria; Bacillati; Bacillota; Clostridia; Eubacteriales; Oscillospiraceae. The record is from RNAcentral.